CCGGUAAACGGCGGCCGUAACUAUAACGGUCCUAAGGUAGCGAAAUUCCUUGUCGGGUAAGUUCCGACCUGCACGAAUGGCGUAAUGAUGGCCAGGCUGUCUCCACCCGAGACUCAGUGAAAUUGAACUCGCUGUGAAGAUGCAGUGUACCCGCGGCAAGACGGAAAGACCCCGUGAACCUUUACUAUAGCUUGACACUGAACAUUGAGCCUUGAUGUGUAGGAUAGGUGGGAGGCUUAGAAGUGUGGACGCCAGUCUGCAUGGAGCCGACCUUGAAAUACCACCCUUUAAUGUUUGAUGUUCUAACGUUGACCCGUAAUCCGGGUUGCGGACAGUGUCUGGUGGGUAGUUUGACUGGGGCGGUCUCCUCCUAAAGAGUAACGGAGGAGCACGAAGGUUGGCUAAUCCUGGUCGGACAUCAGGAGGUUAGUGCAAUGGCAUAAGCCAGCUUGACUGCGAGCGUGACGGCGCGAGCAGGUGCGAAAGCAGGUCAUAGUGAUCCGGUGGUUCUGAAUGGAAGGGCCAUCGCUCAACGGAUAAAAGGUACUCCGGGGAUAACAGGCUGAUACCGCCCAAGAGUUCAUAUCGACGGCGGUGUUUGGCACCUCGAUGUCGGCUCAUCACAUCCUGGGGCUGAAGUAGGUCCCAAGGGUAUGGCUGUUCGCCAUUUAAAGUGGUACGCGAGCUGGGUUUAGAACGUCGUGAGACAGUUCGGUCCCUAUCUGCCGUGGGCGCUGGAGAACUGAGGGGGGCUGCUCCUAGUACGAGAGGACCGGAGUGGACGCAUCACUGGUGUUCGGGUUGUCAUGCCAAUGGCACUGCCCGGUAGCUAAAUGCGGAAGAGAUAAGUGCUGAAAGCAUCUAAGCACGAAACUUGCCCCGAGAUGAGUUCUCCCUGACUCCUUGAGAGUCCUGAAGGAACGUUGAAGACGACGACGUUGAUAGGCCGGGUGUGUAAGCGCAGCGAUGCGU
Molecule: ribosomal RNA, 972 nt
Filed under: Escherichia coli
Lineage: Bacteria; Pseudomonadati; Pseudomonadota; Gammaproteobacteria; Enterobacterales; Enterobacteriaceae
Description: partial 23S ribosomal RNA
Rfam family: Bacterial large subunit ribosomal RNA
Source: RNAcentral